RNAcentral lists this long non-coding RNA (203 nucleotides) under Sorghum bicolor (sorghum). RNAcentral's name for it is "long non-coding RNA (SBIC_LNC004127)". Lineage: Eukaryota; Viridiplantae; Streptophyta; Magnoliopsida; Poales; Poaceae. The record is from RNAcentral.
CCUAGUUGAUAAUUCCAUGCAUGCCAUGCCAGGAUCAGAGCCCCAGCAGCUAGCUAGCAAGGCCUGUUUGGUUGUUUAGACACAUAUAUGAAGUAUUAAAUAUAAACUAUUUAUAAAACUAAAAACAUAGUUAGAGAGUAAUUUACGAGACGAAUUUUUUAAGCCUAAAUAGUCUAUAAUUGAACACCUCAAACUAAACACCC